UGUAGUUCAGAUUGGCCUUAGACUCACUGUGUAGUCCAGGCUGGCCUCAGACUUGCGAUGAUCCUCCUGCCUCAGCCUCCCUCCUGAGUGCUAGGAUGACAGGUGUGUGCCACCACACCUGAGGCCGGCAACCGUAUUUAACAGAUAAUAAUCAACAGUCUCCUUCCCUCUUUCUCUGUUGUCCCCACACUUCCCUCCCUCUCAGGUUUAAGGCUGUGCUUGCAUGCUCUGCAUGACAAUAGCUUGAAACAGAAAGAUUUUUUUCAGAUCUUUUGAAUCUCUAAGUGUUGAAUACCUGGGGUAUGGAAAUAUUAUUAUGAUAUGUUUUAUUAUUAGCAUUGUACAUUGAAUCAGGAGCGUUUAUAUUUUGAAUUUGUCUGAUUGAAUCUUGGUUGGGAAUUGAAGCCUCAGCACACGAAAGCCACAUGUCACUUUUCAGGAGAGAUGAUACCAGUUGUUUGGACGCCUUGUGUUCUAUUAAAGUCAAAACCAGGCUUCCCUGUCAGACUGUUAGAGAGAAACGUGGCUGGGUUUGUGAGCAAGGAGCCCCUGCUUCCAGCCCAAGAGGCUGGAGAGGAGAGCAGAUCCGGACCGCUGGAGCAUGGCCCCUCUGCCACCCAAGUCCUCCCUGUUAUCACCUCAAAGCUGGGAGAGCAGGCUGCCGACAGUGUGCAGCUGUCUGGAGACGCCCGUAAUGGAGUCAGGACGCUGACCUGGGACAGCAGCUGCAGAGGCGAGAAGUACAACAGUUUCCUUCCUGGCUUCCCAGUCCCACGCCCAGGCUGUGUAACCAAGCGCUCCGUGUCCUCUGCCCAGCUUCCCAUGUGUGCCAGCCUCGCGCUCAGGUUGCCCAGCUCUUCUCUGUCCUUCUACUGGCUGUGAAGAACCAGACUCUGAUCCUUUCCUGCACUGCUGAGAAGACUCCAGUUGCUGCUUCCAAAAGCUUACUCGUUCUUCACAACAGCGUUCAAGGGUCUGUGCCUUGAAUUUUUCCAGGCACACCUAGGUUGGGUUAAUUUUCCCUCUUCCAUGUUCCCAGGGAACUUUGUAGAAAACCACGCUUCAUCAACCCAACUUCAGUGACCUA
RNAcentral lists this long non-coding RNA (1087 nucleotides) under Chinchilla lanigera (long-tailed chinchilla). RNAcentral describes it as "lncRNA (ENSCLAG00000024723.1)". Lineage: Eukaryota; Metazoa; Chordata; Mammalia; Rodentia; Chinchillidae. The record is from RNAcentral.